AACACUGUUAACCUGCGGUACCUGCGGAGGGAUCAUUAAAGAUUGACCGAAAGGUCUUAUCUCUAUAUCCCUCACCUCUGUGAACUGUGGACCUCCGGGUCUAUUUAACAAACAUCAGUGUAAUGAACGUAUAUAUCAUUAAACAAAACAAAACUUUUAACAAUGGAUCU
RNAcentral lists this unclassified non-coding RNA (170 nucleotides) under soil metagenome. RNAcentral's name for it is "partial contains 5.8S ribosomal RNA, internal transcribed spacer 2, and large subunit ribosomal RNA". The record is from RNAcentral.